Molecule: ribosomal RNA, 497 nt
Filed under: uncultured bacterium
Lineage: Bacteria
Description: partial 16S ribosomal RNA
Rfam family: Bacterial small subunit ribosomal RNA
Source: RNAcentral
GAUGAACGCUGGCGGCGUGCCUAAUACAUGUAAGUCGAGCGAACGGACGAGAAGCUUGCUUCUCUGAUGUUAGCGGCGGACGGGUGAGUAACACGUGGAUAACCUACCUAUAAGACUGGGAUAACUUCGGGAAACCGGAGCUAAUACCGGAUAAUAUUUUGAACCGCAUGGUUCAAAAGUGAAAGACGGUCUUGCUGUCACUUAUAGAUGGAUCCGCGCUGCAUUAGCUAGUUGGUAAGGUAACGGCUUACCAAGGCAACGAUGCAUAGCCGACCUGAGAGGGUGAUCGGCCACACUGGAACUGAGACACGGUCCAGACUCCUACGGGAGGCAGCAGUAGGGAAUCGUCCGCAAUGGGCGAAAGCCUGACGGAGCAACGCCGCGUGAGUGAUGAAGGUCUUCGGAUCGUAAAACUCUGUUAUUAGGGAAGAACAUAUGUGUAAGUAACUGUGCACAUCUUGACGGUACCUAAUCAGAAAGCCACGGCUAACUACGUG